RNAcentral lists this ribosomal RNA (468 nucleotides) under uncultured bacterium. RNAcentral describes it as "partial 16S ribosomal RNA". It matches the Rfam family "Bacterial small subunit ribosomal RNA", at positions 28 to 507 of the family's 1533-position model. The record is from RNAcentral.
GACGAACGCUGGCGGCGUGCUUAACACAUGCAAGUCGAACGGAAAGGCGCGGCUCUUGCGGGGUGCUCGUUAGGCGAACGGGUGAGUAACACGUGUGUAACCCGCCCCUGUCUUUGGGAUAACACUACGAAACUGGGGCUAAUACCGGGUAGGAUCUCCUGCUGCACGGGGGGGGAUGGAAAGUGUCGGCGGUUGGGGCUGGACUCGCGGCUUAUCAGCUGGUUGGUGGGGUAGGGGUUUACCAAGGCUUUGACGGGUAGGCGGCCUGGGAGGGUGGCCGGCCACCUGGGGACUGCGAGACGGCGCAGUAUCCUACGGGCGGCAGCAGGGGAGAAUAUUACGGAGUGGGCGGACGCGUGAUGUGGCGACCCCGCGUGCGGGAUGCUGGCCUUCGGGUUAUAAACAGAUGUCGACUGUGACGAGGAGUGAGUGACGGUACUGGGUCAAGAAGCACCGGCUAACUACGUG